AACCAUUCUCACCUGCGGCUAGACCUGCGGAGGGAUCAUUACAGAGUUGCAAAACUCCCUAAACCAUUGUGAACGUUACCUAAACCGUUGCUUCGGCGGGCGGCCCGGGUCCUUCCCGGCGCCCCUCGGCCCUCGCGGGCGCCCGCCGGAGGUAAACCAAACUAUUGCAUUGUAUGGCCUCUCUGAGUCUUCUGUACUGAAUAAGUCAAAACUUUCAGCAACGGAUCUCAGAUCGGAAGA
RNAcentral lists this unclassified non-coding RNA (240 nucleotides) under soil metagenome. Its description in RNAcentral is "partial contains 5.8S ribosomal RNA, internal transcribed spacer 2, and large subunit ribosomal RNA". The record is from RNAcentral.